This 1376-nucleotide ribosomal RNA is filed under the name Lactiplantibacillus plantarum. RNAcentral's name for it is "bacterial SSU rRNA". It matches the Rfam family "Bacterial small subunit ribosomal RNA", at positions 20 to 1361 of the family's 1533-position model. The record is from RNAcentral. Lineage: Bacteria; Bacillati; Bacillota; Bacilli; Lactobacillales; Lactobacillaceae.
CUGGUCAGGACGAACGCUGGCGGCGUGCCUAAUACAUGCAAGUCGAACGAACUCUGGUAUUGAUUGGUGCUUGCAUCAUGAUUUACAUUUGAGUGAGUGGCGAACUGGUGAGUAACACGUGGGAAACCUGCCCAGAAGCGGGGGAUAACACCUGGAAACAGAUGCUAAUACCGCAUAACAACUUGGACCGCAUGGUCCGAGYUUGAAAGAUGGCUUCGGCUAUCACUUUUGGAUGGUCCCGCGGCGUAUUAGCUAGAUGGUGGGGUAACGGCUCACCAUGGCAAUGAUACGUAGCCGACCUGAGAGGGUAAUCGGCCACAUUGGGACUGAGACACGGCCCAAACUCCUACGGGAGGCAGCAGUAGGGAAUCUUCCACAAUGGACGAAAGUCUGAUGGAGCAACGCCGCGUGAGUGAAGAAGGGUUUCGGCUCGUAAAACUCUGUUGUUAAAGAAGAACAUAUCUGAGAGUAACUGUUCAGGUAUUGACGGUAUUUAACCAGAAAGCCACGGCUAACUACGUGCCAGCAGCCGCGGUAAUACGUAGGUGGCAAGCGUUGUCCGGAUUUAUUGGGCGUAAAGCGAGCGCAGGCGGUUUUUUAAGUCUGAUGUGAAAGCCUUCGGCUCAACCGAAGAAGUGCAUCGGAAACUGGGAAACUUGAGUGCAGAAGAGGACAGUGGAACUCCAUGUGUAGCGGUGAAAUGCGUAGAUAUAUGGAAGAACACCAGUGGCGAAGGCGGCUGUCUGGUCUGUAACUGACGCUGAGGCUCGAAAGUAUGGGUAGCAAACAGGAUUAGAUACCCUGGUAGUCCAUACCGUAAACGAUGAAUGCUAAGUGUUGGAGGGUUUCCGCCCUUCAGUGCUGCAGCUAACGCAUUAAGCAUUCCGCCUGGGGAGUACGGCCGCAAGGCUGAAACUCAAAGGAAUUGACGGGGGCCCGCACAAGCGGUGGAGCAUGUGGUUUAAUUCGAAGCUACGCGAAGAACCUUACCAGGUCUUGACAUACUAUGCAAAUCUAAGAGAUUAGACGUUCCCUUCGGGGACAUGGAUACAGGUGGUGCAUGGUUGUCGUCAGCUCGUGUCGUGAGAUGUUGGGUUAAGUCCCGCAACGAGCGCAACCCUUAUUAUCAGUUGCCAGCAUUAAGUUGGGCACUCUGGUGAGACUGCCGGUGACAAACCGGAGGAAGGUGGGGAUGACGUCAAAUCAUCAUGCCCCUUAUGACCUGGGCUACACACGUGCUACAAUGGAUGGUACAACGAGUUGCGAACUCGCGAGAGUAAGCUAAUCUCUUAAAGCCAUUCUCAGUUCGGAUUGUAGGCUGCAACUCGGCCUACAUGAAGUCGGAAUCGCUAGUAAUCGCGGAUCAGCAUGCCGCG